AAUAACCGUACCCAGCCUCUGUUCGUCCCAGGAAAGUUAGCUGUCCCCGUGCUCAGGUGGGCGGGCAAUUAACCUGGGUCUUCUCUCCACGUGGCAGGUACAGAGGAUGACUUGCCAGGUGAGGUCAUUAAGAGCGAUUACCUGUGCUCCUCUGAAGGGCCUAAUUACACACCGUCGCCAGCAGUGUGCCCGACAAACUUCAAACUGCCGACUGCUUGCGACGCGUUCUCGACCUGUUUACUUGCUUUCCGCUGGUUUGUGGCGAAGAAGCGACGAACUGACAAACAACAGGGAUAGGAAUAGACACCACCUCCACCACCAUCACCACCACCGCCAUCAACCCAGUAUA
This is a long non-coding RNA of Eriocheir sinensis (Chinese mitten crab), 349 nucleotides long. RefSeq lists it as uncharacterized. The record is from RefSeq and is a predicted model, not a curated record. The transcript has 3 exons. NCBI's taxonomy places the organism in Eukaryota, Metazoa, Arthropoda, Malacostraca, Decapoda, Varunidae.